RNAcentral lists this ribosomal RNA (258 nucleotides) under uncultured bacterium. RNAcentral's name for it is "partial 16S ribosomal RNA". It matches the Rfam family "Bacterial small subunit ribosomal RNA", at positions 1 to 288 of the family's 1533-position model. The record is from RNAcentral.
UAGUGAGUUUGAUCCUGGCUCAGGAUGAACGCUGGCGGUCUGCUUAACACAUGCAAGUCGAACGGAGUACUUUCGGGUACUUAGUGGCGGACGGGUGAGUAACGCGUGAGAAUCUGCCUUCUGGUCGGGGACAACCACUGGAAACGGUGGCUAAUACCGGAUAUGCCUAUGGGUGAAAGAUUAAUUGCCAGAAGAAGAGCUCGCGUCUGAUUAGCUAGUUGGAGAGGUAAAGGCUCACCAAGGCAUCGAUCAGUAGCU